UUUAUGGAGAGUUUGAUCCUGGCUCAGAGUGAACGCUGGCGGCGUGCCUAAUACAUGCAAGUCGAACGAUGAAGCUUCUAGCUUGCUAGAGUGCUGAUUAGUGGCGCACGGGUGAGUAACGCAUAGGUUAUGUGCCUCUUAGUUUGGGAUAGCCAUUGGAAACGAUGAUUAAUACCAGAUACUCCCUACGGGGGAAAGAUUUAUCGCUAAGAGAUCAGCCUAUGUCCUAUCAGCUUGUUGGUAAGGUAAUGGCUUACCAAGGCUAUGACGGGUAUCCGGCCUGAGAGGGUGAACGGACACACUGGAACUGAGACACGGUCCAGACUCCUACGGGAGGCAGCAGUAGGGAAUAUUGCUCAAUGGGGGAAACCCUGAAGCAGCAACGCCGCGUGGAGGAUGAAGGUUUUAGGAUUGUAAACUCCUUUUGUUAGAGAAGAUAAUGACGGUAUCUAACGAAUAAGCACCGGCUAACUCCGUGCCAGCAGCCGCGGUAAUACGGAGGGUGCAAGCGUUACUCGGAAUCACUGGGCGUAAAGAGCGCGUAGGCGGGAUAGUCAGUCAGGUGUGAAAUCCUAUGGCUUAACCAUAGAACUGCAUUUGAAACUACUAUUCUAGAGUGUGGGAGAGGUAGGUGGAAUUCUUGGUGUAGGGGUAAAAUCCGUAGAGAUCAAGAGGAAUACUCAUUGCGAAGGCGACCUGCUGGAACAUUACUGACGCUGAUUGCGCGAAAGCGUGGGGAGCAAACAGGAUUAGAUACCCUGGUAGUCCACGCCCUAAACGAUGGAUGCUAGUUGUUGGAGGGCUCAGUCUCUCCAGUAAUGCAGCUAACGCAUUAAGCAUCCCGCCUGGGGAGUACGGUCGCAAGAUUAAAACUCAAAGGAAUAGACGGGGACCCGCACAAGCGGUGGAGCAUGUGGUUUAAUUCGAAGAUACACGAAGAACCUUACCUAGGCUUGACAUUGAGAGAAUCCGCUAGAAAUAGUGGAGUGUCUGGCUUGCCAGACCUUGAAAACAGGUGCUGCACGGCUGUCGUCAGCUCGUGUCGUGAGAUGUUGGGUUAAGUCCCGCAACGAGCGCAACCCCCUUUCUUAGUUGCUAACAGGUCAUGCUGAGAACUCUAAGGAUACUGCCUCCGUAAGGAGGAGGAAGGUGGGGACGACGUCAAGUCAUCAUGGCCCUUACGCCUAGGGCUACACACGUGCUACAAUGGGGUGCACAAAGAGAAGCAAUACUGCGAAGUGGAGCCAAUCUUCAAAACACCUCUCAGUUCGGAUUGUAGGCUGCAACUCGCCUGCAUGAAGCUGGAAUCGCUAGUAAUCGCAAAUCAGCCAUGUUGCGGUGAAUACGUUCCCGGGUCUUGUACUCACCGCCCGUCACACCAUGGGAGUUGUGUUUGCCUUAAGUCAGGAUGCUAAAUUAGCUACUGCCCACGGCACACACAGCGACUGGGGUGAAGUCGUAACAAGGUAACCGUAGGUGAACCUGCGGUUGGAUCACCUCCUUUCUAGA
This 1509-nucleotide ribosomal RNA is filed under the name Helicobacter pylori. RNAcentral's name for it is "bacterial SSU rRNA". It matches the Rfam family "Bacterial small subunit ribosomal RNA". The record is from RNAcentral. Lineage: Bacteria; Pseudomonadati; Campylobacterota; Epsilonproteobacteria; Campylobacterales; Helicobacteraceae.